RNAcentral lists this ribosomal RNA (497 nucleotides) under uncultured bacterium. RNAcentral describes it as "partial 16S ribosomal RNA". It matches the Rfam family "Bacterial small subunit ribosomal RNA", at positions 29 to 507 of the family's 1533-position model. The record is from RNAcentral.
AAUGAACGCUGGCGGCGUGCCUAAUACAUGCAAGUCGAGCGAACAGAUGAGGCUCUUUCUCCUCUUCAGUUACCGACGGACGAGUAAUUACUAGGUAUCUAACCUACCUAUAAGAAUGGGGUAAAUUCAGGAAACCUGAUCCAACACCCGAUAUGAUGUUGAACCUGAUGGUUCAUUGGUCAAAAACCUAUUUGCUGUCACUUAGUCGUGGUUCCGGGGCGGAUUAGCUAGUUGGUAAGGUAACGGCCUACCAAGGCUACGAUGCGUAGCUGAUCUGAGAGGGUGAUCAGCCACACUGGAACUGAGACACGGUCCAGACUCCUACGGGAGGCAGCAGUGGGGAAUAUUGGACAAUGGGCGAAAGCCUGACCCAGCCACGCCGCGUGAGUGAAGAAGGUCUUCGGAUUGUAAAGCUCUUUUAUUAGGGAGGAAGAGCAGUAAAUGAAUACCUGCAUGUCUUGACGGUACCAACAGAGAAAGCACCGGCUAACUACGUG